Molecule: transfer RNA, 460 nt
Filed under: uncultured Alphaproteobacteria bacterium
Lineage: Bacteria; Pseudomonadati; Pseudomonadota; Alphaproteobacteria
Description: partial 16S-23S ribosomal RNA intergenic spacer
Rfam family: tRNA (bases 106-179)
Source: RNAcentral
CCUCCUUUCUAAAGGAAAAAAAACUUUGAACUAAGUGUACGUUUAAAGUAACCACCGUCUAUUUGUUUUGCUUUUUUCAACUAAAGUUGAUAAAGAGCAUUGAUUGGGCGUGUAGCUCAGUUGGUUAGAGCGCGCGCUUGAUAAGCGUGAGGUCGGAGGUUCAAGUCCUCCCUCGCCCACCAACACUGUUGGGGGAUUAGCUCAGCUGGGAGAGCGCCUGAUUUGCAUUCAGGAGGUCAGCGGUUCGAUCCCGCUAUCCUCCACCAACUUUUUAAAAUCGUAAAUAUGUAAGCUGAUAACACAGACGAAUAACUUGCACGAGUUGUUCGUCAAUUAAACAACUAAUAUAACAACAAAUAACUACAAAAAGUUAUUAACAACAAACUUUUCACUGUGUGUUAAUAAUUCAAGCGCGUAAGAGCAUUUGGUGGAUGCCUUGGCAUAAAGAGGCGACGAAGGA